Molecule: ribosomal RNA, 843 nt
Filed under: Triticum aestivum (bread wheat)
Lineage: Eukaryota; Viridiplantae; Streptophyta; Magnoliopsida; Poales; Poaceae
Description: partial small subunit ribosomal RNA
Source: RNAcentral
AUGGCUUUCCCCCCUGGCAGAUGGCCGGCGAUCACUACUGCGAUCUCGCUGGCAUGGGCAUGGGUGGCGGCGAGCGGCCGCGGGGUCGACGGGGGCGACAUGCUGAUGAUGGACAGGUUCCUCCGGUGGCAGGCCACGCACAACCGAUCGUACCCGAGCGCGGGGGAGAGGCUGCGGCGCUUCCAGGUGUACCACGACAACGUGGAUUACGUCGACGCCACCAACCGCCGCGGCAACCUCACCUACCGGCUCGGCGAGAACCAGUUCGCCGACCUCACCCGGAAGGAGUUCCUCGCCAAGUUCAUGUCUUACGACGGCAACGAUCGCACCGAGGAUGAUAAUACGGUCAUCACGACGGCCCAGGGCGCCGACGCCAACAUGUGGUCGUCUGGCGGCGUCAAUGUCUCCUUGGAUCCGGCCAGCGUGGACUGGAGGGCCAAAGGAGCCGUGGUGCCGCCCAAGACGCAAACCUCAUCGUGUUUCAGCAGCUGGGCGUUCACGGCGGUGGCGACGAUCGAGAGCCUCCACUCGAUCAAGACGGGGAAGCUGGUGCCCCUCUCGGAGCAGCAGCUGCCCGUGGCCGCGGCCAUCGAGCUCGGCAGCGACAUACAGUUCUAUAAGAGCGGCGUCUACUCGGGCCCCUGCGGGACGCGUCUCCAGCAUGUCGUCACCGUCGUCGGCUACGACGCCGAUGAGUCCACAGGUGAGAAGUUCUGGAUCGUCAAGAACUCGUCGGGCCAGACAGUGGGUGUAGAAGAACCACUCUCCAUGCAGCGCAGAAUCCUGGGCCCGGGGCUCUGUGGCAUCAUGCUCGAUGUCGCCUACCCGACCAUGUCAAUGUGA